RNAcentral lists this long non-coding RNA (540 nucleotides) under Monodelphis domestica (gray short-tailed opossum). RNAcentral's name for it is "lncRNA (ENSMODG00000049272.1)". Lineage: Eukaryota; Metazoa; Chordata; Mammalia; Didelphimorphia; Didelphidae. The record is from RNAcentral.
AUCAUCUUUGAAGCUGCUUGCCUUGAAUUAUCCUCAAGAAAAAGGUUGAGUUUGAGUUCCCCAUUCACUCUGGUGGAAAGAACUGAUUUGGGUGUGAUCUCCUCCCUUUCAGGAUCAUUUACUGGUGUGUCCUAUUCAGGCAGUCCCAACCCUUUCAGCAUAAUAUCUAAAAGGAUGGGGAAGGAGUCAGGAAAUAAGGAUCUGAGAAGCUUGCACCAGCUCACCUGCAAUGAUGAAAGAGGCAAUACUCAACUGCAGAGACACAAUAAUAUGACUGUGAAAUACUGCAUAACAUAUCUAGAAUUAACUCUAGUAUCAUGACAUACCAAACCAAAAAGUGGUGAAAAAAGGGAUAAUCUAAUGAGGAAGCCCAUGAAGAAGUUAGUAUGAUUUAGUGGAAAGAGCCCUGAACAGGAAAAACAAAGUCCAGAUUUAAGUCCCAUGGUUACCAGGAACUGGCUACACAACCUAAGAAAAGUCAUUAUGCCAAUGAAUCAGUUGCUUCAUGCAAAACGGGAAAUAAAUAGCUGUCUUAUCUCA